This 635-nucleotide long non-coding RNA is filed under the name Lathyrus oleraceus (garden pea). RNAcentral's name for it is "Pisum sativum (pea) long non-coding RNA (PSAT_LNC004445)". Lineage: Eukaryota; Viridiplantae; Streptophyta; Magnoliopsida; Fabales; Fabaceae. The record is from RNAcentral.
UGCCUAUCUAUCAUGACUUUUUAUUAGAACAGAAACGCAUCAUAUCCAAGGAGACCUCAUAAAUCCAGCUAGUACAGAAUAGGGAAACAAAUUUUGUUCAGUGUUUCAGCCAAUGUUCAUUUUCAUUUCUAUAGAUAACACACUAAUGGCAAAUAAACUUCAACUUAACAAAAGAUUUCCUGUAAAACCAGCACAUCCAAAAACCAGUACAUCCAACAAUACAACACACUUAUAAUGGCUAAUCAAACCUAAAGUUAUAACCUAUAAACACAUUUUGAUAUACCACUCUUAAUAGAGAAACACAUGCUAAGAAUCAAAACCAAAUCAAGGUUAGUCAUUAUUUACAGGUCCUCAACUCAUAAACCAAACUCAAUCGUGACAUCACCGUAAGAAACAACAGACAUAGCCAGAAACUCUAUCUCAAUGCUACACCAGAACUCGAUUUGUAACAUAACAGAGAAAAAGAAAAUCACAUCUGAUUCCAAUCAUGAACUACACAAAUCAAACCCAAUGUAUUUACUACCCAUCAUAACCGCAUGCCAGAAUAAAAACAAAACGAUAAACAGAAACAAUCUAAAACUCAGAUUCAACUCAAGCCAAAGAUGAAAUUACCGAAAAUCAAACAACACUAAAUC